RNAcentral lists this unclassified non-coding RNA (856 nucleotides) under Hevea brasiliensis (rubber tree). The record is from RNAcentral. Lineage: Eukaryota; Viridiplantae; Streptophyta; Magnoliopsida; Malpighiales; Euphorbiaceae.
GUUCGUAGCUUAAAUGGAGCAACCACCAUACACUGAAGAUGACAUCACCACCACCACCACCACUUCUUCUCCACAGGCAAGAAUCAACCAGAAUUCCGAUGCUCCUCUCGGCGGCACACGGCAUCCAGUUUAUCGCGGCGUCAGGAAACGGAGGUGGGGGAAAUGGGUGUCUGAAAUUAGAGAACCGCGAAAGAAAUCACGUAUAUGGCUAGGUUCAUUUCCUGUGCCAGAAAUGGCUGCCAAGGCAUAUGACGUUGCCGCCUAUUGUCUUAAAGGUUGUAAAGCGCAGCUUAAUUUUCCUGACGAGGUAGAGGACUUGCCCAGGCCGUCGUCGUGUACGGCUAGGGAUAUUCAAGCAGCAGCAGCUAAAGCAGCACAUUCGAUGAUUAAUGCAGAAGAAAAGAGCAGCUGCAGCACAACAAAUAGCGAUGGCGACCUGAAAACUGAUGAUUUCUGGGGUGAAAUUGAAUUACCGGAAUUAAUGAGUAGUGGAUUCAAUUGGAGUUCGUGUGUAUGGACAACUUUAGCAGGCGAUUCCACGUGGCAAGAUGAAGAGGCUCCACAGAUGUUCAUGGCAUGUCUGUAACGUGGCAGUAUUGAAGUUUUGUUAGCGUGCAUGUCUGGUACUAGGCUUGGAAAUCUAUGUCCCUCCCUCUCUCUCUCUCUCUAGAUCAUAUAUGCUGGUUCUGUUAAUCCUAUAUGUAUAUCUUGCAAUAUUUAAUUAAUAUUAAUUAUAGUAUAUGAAGUUUUGAAAUGCAUCCAUUUUGGCCCUGCAAGCUAACACUACCAGUUUAUCAGUUUGAGGUUAUUCUUACAUAUUUGCAGUUUUCUUCCCCAGAGUUCACCUAGAUGCGAU